UACGAAGGGUGCAAGCGUUAAUCGGAAUUACUGGGCGUAAAGCGCGCGUAGGUGGCUUGAUAAGUUGGAUGUGAAAUCCCCGGGCUCAACCUGGGAACUGCAUCCAAAACUGUCUGGCUAGAGUGCGGUAGAGGGUAGUGGAAUUUCCAGUGUAGCGGUGAAAUGCGUAGAUAUUGGAAGGAACACCAGUGGCGAAGGCGACUACCUGGACUGACACUGACACUGAGGUGCGAAAGCGUGGGGAGCAAACAGGAUUAGAUACCCCCGUAGUCC
RNAcentral lists this ribosomal RNA (273 nucleotides) under Pseudomonas oryzihabitans. RNAcentral describes it as "partial 16S ribosomal RNA". It matches the Rfam family "Bacterial small subunit ribosomal RNA", at positions 524 to 796 of the family's 1533-position model. The record is from RNAcentral. RNAcentral also lists the same sequence under 1 other name. Lineage: Bacteria; Pseudomonadati; Pseudomonadota; Gammaproteobacteria; Pseudomonadales; Pseudomonadaceae.